This 253-nucleotide ribosomal RNA is filed under the name uncultured bacterium. RNAcentral's name for it is "partial 16S ribosomal RNA". It matches the Rfam family "Bacterial small subunit ribosomal RNA", at positions 524 to 776 of the family's 1533-position model. The record is from RNAcentral.
UACAGAGGUGGCAAGCGUUGUUCGGAAUUACUGGGCGUAAAGGGCGCGUAGGCGGCCAUCUAAGUCAGACGUGAAAUCCCCCGGCUUAACCUGGGAACUGCGUCUGAUACUGGACGGCUUGAGUGCGGGAGAGGGAUGUGGAAUUCCAGGUGUAGCGGUGAAAUGCGUAGAUAUCUGGAGGAACACCAAUGGCGGAGGCAGCUCGCUGGAACGGUACUGACGCUGAGGCGCGAAAGCGUGGGGAGCGAACAGG